CCUUAUCAAGAGUGGCGGAGGGGACCGGCCCUGUGAAGCCCGGCAACCUGAUUUGUUUUCAAGGUGCCAAAUCCGGCGGAUUAUCCGAAAGAUGAGG
RNAcentral lists this non-coding RNA (97 nucleotides) under bovine gut metagenome. RNAcentral describes it as "SAM riboswitch (S box leader)". It matches the Rfam family "SAM riboswitch aptamer (S box leader)". Rfam says of the family: The SAM riboswitch is found upstream of a number of genes which code for proteins involved in methionine or cysteine biosynthesis in Gram-positive bacteria. The record is from RNAcentral.